This is a long non-coding RNA of Triticum aestivum (bread wheat), 669 nucleotides long. RefSeq lists it as uncharacterized. The transcript has 3 exons. NCBI's taxonomy places the organism in Eukaryota, Viridiplantae, Streptophyta, Magnoliopsida, Poales, Poaceae. The record is from RefSeq and is a predicted model, not a curated record.
UGGCACCUCCACCUCUUCCUCUUCCUCUCCCUCUAGUGCUAACCACAGCCAUUCUUUCAACUUGCCACCAACACGAAAAUUAAAGAGGAAUGUCAGGAGAACUUAUUCAGGAAAUUAAUACUCAACUUCGUUGCUUUAAUUGGACGAACGGAUCCAUGAAACGUUCCUGCACAAUCAGCCAUUAAAGGCCACGGUGAGCUCCUUUGAUCUCCCCGUACCGACCCCCUCUUCCCCUAUAAAUAGGACCCUGGGAAGCACAACAUAUCUCUCCAUCCCUAAGCCCGAAACCCCUCUCUGUCUCGCUCUCCUACGCGAGCAAUUGCUCGCCGGAGUUCAACAAUAGCAUCAAACUCCGACGAGGAUUCCGUCGCGACCGAGCAGGAGGACGAGAACCGCGAAGACUGAGGCUCAUCACCGCCGUGCGCAACUUCAGCCGCUUCUGUCGAGUGAAGCAGAAAGCUCCGGAGAUCCUUACGGAGUCCAUUGAAUUCUCCAUCACCAUCUCUCCACCGUCCGCUACUCCCAAGACCUUUGGUUUGUCGAAUCCGCGCCGGGCCGCCCAACUCCGGCGAACCCUCACGAUUGCGACGAGUGCGAAGGUGAAUUCUACGAGGAGGUAGAACCUUGUGACUACAAAACCGAAGGCAAGUUGCAAAUUGAUCAUGCUUC